This 424-nucleotide ribosomal RNA is filed under the name uncultured bacterium. RNAcentral's name for it is "bacterial SSU rRNA". It matches the Rfam family "Bacterial small subunit ribosomal RNA", at positions 29 to 506 of the family's 1533-position model. The record is from RNAcentral.
ACUAACGCUGACGGCGUGCCUAAUCUAUGCAAGUCUUUGAUCUGUAGCGAUACAAGUCAAAGCAGACGAGUGAGUAACAUGUAGGAAUCAACCCCAUACUCAGACAUAACCCGGGGAAACUCGGGGUAAUAUCUGAUGAUCUCUUCAGUUGGUACUGAAAGAGUAAAGAUUUAUUGGUAUGGGACGAGCCUGCAUCCUAUCAGCUAGUUGGUAAGGUAAAAGCUUACCAAGGCUAUGACGGGUAGGGGGCGUGAGAGCGUGAUCCCCCACGAUGGCACUGAGAAACGGGCCAUACAUCUACGGAUGGCAGCAAGUAGGAAUAGUGCACAAUGGGUCGAUGUAUUGACCUGAUGCAGCGACGCCGUGUGUAGGAAGAAGCAUUGCGGUGUGUAAACUAACGUCAAGAAGGGGCGGCUAACUUCGU